GACGAACGCUGGCGGCGUGCUUAACACAUGCAAGUCGAGCGGAAAGGCCCUGCUUUUGUGGGGUGCUCGAGUGGCGAACGGGUGAGUAACACGUGAGUAACCUGCCCUUGACUUUGGGAUAACUUCAGGAAACUGGGGCUAAUACCGGAUAGGAGCUCCUGCUGCAUGGUGGGGGUUGGAAAGUUUCGGCGGUUGGGGAUGGACUCGCGGCUUAUCAGCUUGUUGGUGGGGUAGUGGCUUACCAAGGCUUUGACGGGUAGCCGGCCUGAGAGGGUGACCGGCCACAUUGGGACUGAGAUACGGCCUAGACUCCUACGGGAGGCAGCAGUGGGGAAUAUUGCACAAUGGGCGGAAGCCUGAUGCAGCAACGCCGCGUGCGGGAUGACGGCCUUCGGGUUGUAAACCGCUUUCGCCUGUGACGAAGCGUGAGUGACGGUAAUGGGUAAAGAAGCACCGGCUAACUACGUG
RNAcentral lists this ribosomal RNA (468 nucleotides) under uncultured bacterium. RNAcentral's name for it is "partial 16S ribosomal RNA". It matches the Rfam family "Bacterial small subunit ribosomal RNA", at positions 28 to 507 of the family's 1533-position model. The record is from RNAcentral.